Molecule: ribosomal RNA, 421 nt
Filed under: uncultured archaeon
Lineage: Archaea
Description: partial 16S ribosomal RNA
Rfam family: Archaeal small subunit ribosomal RNA
Source: RNAcentral
CUACGGGGGGCACCAGCGGAACUUUUACAAUGCACGAAAGUGUGAUAAAGCGAGCCAAAGUGUUUUUCGUUUAGAAAAACUUUUUCUUAGUGUAAAAACCUAGGAGAAUAAGGACUGGGAAAGACCGGUGCCAGCCGCCGCGGUAAUACCGGCAGUUCAAGUUGCAUCCAUUUUUAUUGGGUCUAAAACAUCCGUAGCUUGCCAUUUAAGUUUCUUGUGAAAUCUCACGUCUCAAGCGUGAUGAAGUGCAGGAAAUACUGGGUGGCUAGAGAUCGGUAGACGUAAGGAGUACGCCGGAGGUAGUGGUAAAAUACGUUAAUCUUCGGUGGACUAACAAUCAGCGAAGGCACCUUACGAGGACGAAUCUGACAGUGAGGGAUGAAGGCCAGGGGCGCAAAACGGAUUAGAUACCCCAGUAGUC